UACGUAGGGUCCGAGCGUUGUCCGGAAUUAUUGGGCGUAAAGGGCUCGUAGGCGGUCUGUUGCGUCGGGAGUGAAAACUUACAGCUUAACUGUGAGCGUGCUUCCGAUACAGGCAGACUUGAGGUAUUCAGGGGAGAACGGAAUUCCUGGUGUAGCGGUGAAAUGCGCAGAUAUCAGGAGGAACACCGGUGGCGAAGGCGGUUCUCUGGGAAUAUCCUGACGCUGAGGAGCGAAAGUGUGGGGAGCGAACAGG
RNAcentral lists this ribosomal RNA (253 nucleotides) under uncultured bacterium. Its description in RNAcentral is "partial 16S ribosomal RNA". It matches the Rfam family "Bacterial small subunit ribosomal RNA", at positions 524 to 776 of the family's 1533-position model. The record is from RNAcentral.